RNAcentral lists this ribosomal RNA (254 nucleotides) under uncultured bacterium. RNAcentral's name for it is "partial 16S ribosomal RNA". It matches the Rfam family "Bacterial small subunit ribosomal RNA", at positions 524 to 776 of the family's 1533-position model. The record is from RNAcentral.
UACAGAGACCCCAAGCGUUACCCGGAUUCAUUGGGCGUAAAGGGUUCGUAGGUGGUACAGUAAGUUGAAAGUUAAAGUUCAUCGGCUCAACCUUUGAAAUGCUUUCAAUACUGCUAUACUAGAGGGCGUUAGAGGCAAACGGAACCGACGGAGUAGGGGUGAAAUCCGUUGAUAUCGUCGGGAACACCAAAAGCGAAGGCAGUUUGCUGGGACGACCCUGACACUGAGGAACGAAAGCGUGGGGAGCAAAAAGG